AUUACGUACAGAUGAAAUUGAGUACUUGCCUGUCAAAUUUUGAAGGAAAAAUCAAAGGCUUGAUGCAAAGAUUACUAAGUUGCAGAUUCUGUAUCAGUUAGAAGUAACACUGAAGUUCUCCAACAAUGUAUAAUUGUGUGAUCUGUGCUGCUCAAAGGAUGGAUCCUUGGAGUACUGACAGAAAGAGAGAGAAGAUCAAGGCUUGGCAGUGACCGUAACAUGCUGCUACACAGCAGGCAAACAUUGGAGUUGAGCAGCUGCACCAAGGCGGGUUGAGCUGCCUUUUUCCUUUAUGCUCUUGUUUUGACUUGUGUUAAUCACCCAUUGUCCUAGGUGGGAGAGCUAAAUUAAAGGUCAGGGUGAUCGAAUAGAGCUCCCAUUCAAUUAGAGGAGGCAGGUCACUUCAAACUCCACUGCACAAGGAGGUGAUAAGUAGGAAUUAGAAGUAUACCUGGAGAGGUGUGUCAUUUAGAAGUUGGUACCAAUAGCCUAAUUUUAACUGAAACUAAAUGAAAAUACCCUGUAGUCUUCCCAAAGGUUCAACAUCUGCCAGCACUGAAAAAUGGAGGUCUCUGAAAUUCUUCUUUUGCCAUGAACUUACAGCACUAAUUUUCAGAAGUAUAAGUGUAGCACAAUGGGAGAAUCAAAGAAGAUGGGAACAAAUGGAAAAAAAAAAAAUCACCUUGAACACUUCCUGUGCAUUGUUUUAGGAUAAUCUGCUGCAUGUUCAUGACAUACUGUCAAAUUAGAUGGCCAUUUCAUAAAUAUUUUUAGGCAUAGAGAGAAAUUUUACUCUGUAGAAUUUUCAGCCUUUUGUGUGUGCUGGGAUCUUCCCCAGUGAGAGGUAUCAAUAAGAAUCAUUCACUUGCCUGUAUUUAUGUACAUUUCCUACCAAAUAAAAACUAACAGGUUUCACAGGUUUUAGAAGAAUGGCCGUUCUCAUAAGAUUUCAAGCUAAAUUUCCCUGGGUGUAGAGGUUUUGAAUAAACUUUGCAUGUGAAUCCAAAGUGACAUAUACUGUGAUCCACAGGCUUUGCCAGGCAUUCUUCAUUAUUCAUUAGCUUUCACUAAACAAUGUGGGAUCUGUGGACAGUAGCAUACCUUGUCUUCUAGGCAGGUGGGGGAAGGGUACACUUUGACCCAUAAGCUACUGAGUUAUGUCAACACUUGAGUUAAAUCAGUAGUUACACCCUUCAUGGAAACUUAUGGACCACAUCUUAUGCACUCUGGUGAUUUCCCUCAGGCUUUUUGUUUGAUAGAGAUACUAAAAAAUCCCUCUGUGGUGUAUGGAGUACACCUUUCCUUGAUAGAACAACACAGAAUGAAGAAUAAAGGGUUAGUAUCAUAUCUGUGUCUAAGUUAAUUUCUCUUGAUGUGAUAUCAAAGUACUAGGGCAAUCAACAACAUGUGAUUUGAAAACAGAAAAUUGAAAUCAUCAGUUCUCCAAAGACCAACAAUGCAAUUGUUCCAGGGAUAAAAGGGUUGCAGAUAAAUUGGAAAUGUCACUCUCCAACCACAGGUAGAAAUGUCAUAGUUAUUUGGGCAUAAACCCAUCCUCUUCCUGUGGCAUAAUGUAAUUUUUGAGGCUUCUAGGCUCCUACACUGACAUGUUCUCUAUUCGCAAUACAUUGUGCGGGGAUGGAUUGCUGUGCUUUGAGUGUGAGGAGUGGACAUCUUUGAUCAAAGCAAGUACUGACAAACUGUAUGUGAAUUAAUGAAAAGGAUGAAAAAGAGACAGAUCUGGAGCUGUUUUCCAGUGAUUUUAAUUUAAAUAUUUUCUGUUUAUAAAAAUGUCUUUAUCUAUGUUCUUUUUUUUUUUCCAUUGAGAAUAACCAUGCAACAUGACCAAAAAGUCAUGAUCUGACUUUGAAUAUGAUGGAAUUCUUUCUACAGCAAAGCAAAUAGCAGCAUUUCUGUAGCUCUAUGUAGAGCAGCAUUUCUGUAGCUCCAUGACUUAGAGCUACAGAAGUUCUAAGUCAUGGAGGAGGCAAAAUAAUUGUCAUUUGCCAGAAGAGUUCCCAAAUAUUCUGCAAUAUAUAUUUUUCAAAGCUAUCACCUGAAGAAUUAUCCUCAAAUAAACUUGAACUUAUGGGCACGA
Long non-coding RNA from Strigops habroptila (Kakapo), 2098 nucleotides. RefSeq lists it as uncharacterized. The transcript has 2 exons. The record is from RefSeq and is a predicted model, not a curated record. NCBI's taxonomy places the organism in Eukaryota, Metazoa, Chordata, Aves, Psittaciformes, Psittacidae.